This 447-nucleotide ribosomal RNA is filed under the name uncultured bacterium. Its description in RNAcentral is "partial 16S ribosomal RNA". It matches the Rfam family "Bacterial small subunit ribosomal RNA", at positions 29 to 523 of the family's 1533-position model. The record is from RNAcentral.
AGCGAACGCUGGCGGCAGGCCUAACACAUGCAAGUCGAGCGCCCCGCAAGGGGAGCGGCAGACGGGAGAGUAACACGUGGGAACGUACCCUUCAGUUCGGAACAACCAAGGGAAACUUUGGCUAAUACCGAAUACGUCCGUAAGGAGAAAGAUUUAUCGCUGAAGGAUCGGCCCGCGUCUGAUUAGCUAGUUGGUGGGGUAACGGCCCACCAAGGCGACGAUCAGUAGCUGGUCUGAGAGGAUGAUCAGCCUCACUGGGACUGAGACACGGCCCAGACUCCUACGGGAGGCAGCAGUGGGGAAUAUUGGACAAUGGGCGCAAGCCUGAUCCAGCCUUGCCGCGUGGAUGAUGAAGGCCCUAGGGUUGUAAAGUCCUUUCGGCGGGGAAGAUAAUGACGGUACCCGCAGAAGAAGCCCCGGCUAACUUCGUGCCAGCCGCCGCGGUAA